CACCAGCGCCACGAGUGGUCGUCGCGUUUAUUGGGCCUAAAGCGUUCGUAGCCGGCUUGGUAAAUCUCUUGUGAAAUUGUUCGGCUUAACCGAACAGCGUGCAGGGGACACUGCCAGGCUCGAGACCGGGAGGGGUCAGAGGUAUUCCGUGGGGACCGGUAAAAUGGGAUAAUCCACGGAGGACCACCGAUGGCGAAGGCAUCUGACCAGAACGGAUCUGACGGUGAGGAACGAAAGCUAGGGGAGCGAACCGG
This 254-nucleotide ribosomal RNA is filed under the name uncultured bacterium. RNAcentral describes it as "partial 16S ribosomal RNA". It matches the Rfam family "Archaeal small subunit ribosomal RNA", at positions 474 to 727 of the family's 1478-position model. The record is from RNAcentral.